This 711-nucleotide ribosomal RNA is filed under the name uncultured bacterium. RNAcentral's name for it is "bacterial SSU rRNA". It matches the Rfam family "Bacterial small subunit ribosomal RNA", at positions 76 to 787 of the family's 1533-position model. The record is from RNAcentral.
UAGCUUGCUACCCGCUGACGAGCGGCGGACGGGUGAGUAAUGCAUAGGAAUCUGCCCGAUAGUGGGGGAUAACCUGGGGAAACCCAGGCUAAUACCGCAUACGUCCUACGGGAGAAAGGGGGCUCCGGCUCCCGCUAUCGGAUGAGCCUAUGUCGGAUUAGCUAGUUGGUGAGGUAAUGGCUCACCAAGGCAACGAUCCGUAGCUGGUCUGAGAGGAUGAUCAGCCACAUCGGGACUGAGACACGGCCCGAACUCCUACGGGAGGCAGCAGUGGGGAAUAUUGGACAAUGGGCGAAAGCCUGAUCCAGCCAUGCCGCGUGUGUGAAGAAGGCCUUCGGGUUGUAAAGCACUUUCAGCGAGGAAGAACGCCUAGUGGUCAAUACCCAUUAGGAAAGACAUCACUCGCAGAAGAAGCACCGGCUAACUCCGUGCCAGCAGCCGCGGUAAUACGGAGGGUGCAAGCGUUAAUCGGAAUUACUGGGCGUAAAGCGCGCGUAGGUGGCUUGAUAAGCCGGUUGUGAAAGCCCCGGGCUCAACCUGGGAACGGCAUCCGGAACUGUCAGGCUAGAGUGCAGGAGAGGAAGGUAGAAUUCCCGGCGUAGCGGUGAAAUGCGUAGAGAUCGGGAGGAAUACCAGUGGCGAAGGCGGCCUUCUGGACUGACACUGACACUGAGGUGCGAAAGCGUGGGUAGCAAACAGGAUUAGAUACCC